AAAUUGAAGAGUUUGAUCAUGGCUCAGAUUGAACGCUGGCGGCAGGCCUAACACAUGCAAGUCGAGCGGAAACGAGUUAUCUGAACCUUCGGGGAACGAUAACGGCGUCGAGCGGCGGACGGGUGAGUAAUGCCUAGGAAAUUGCCCUGAUGUGGGGGAUAACCAUUGGAAACGAUGGCUAAUACCGCAUGAUGCCUACGGGCCAAAGAGGGGGACCUUCGGGCCUCUCGCGUCAGGAUAUGCCUAGGUGGGAUUAGCUAGUUGGUGAGGUAAGGGCUCACCAAGGCGACGAUCCCUAGCUGGUCUGAGAGGAUGAUCAGCCACACUGGAACUGAGACACGGUCCAGACUCCUACGGGAGGCAGCAGUGGGGAAUAUUGCACAAUGGGCGCAAGCCUGAUGCAGCCAUGCCGCGUGUGUGAAGAAGGCCUUCGGGUUGUAAAGCACUUUCAGUCGUGAGGAAGGUGGU
RNAcentral lists this ribosomal RNA (468 nucleotides) under Vibrio alginolyticus. RNAcentral's name for it is "bacterial SSU rRNA". It matches the Rfam family "Bacterial small subunit ribosomal RNA", at positions 1 to 455 of the family's 1533-position model. RNAcentral also lists the same sequence under 3 other names. The record is from RNAcentral. Lineage: Bacteria; Pseudomonadati; Pseudomonadota; Gammaproteobacteria; Vibrionales; Vibrionaceae.